GUAUGGAGCAAGCGUUAUCCGGAUNUACUGGGUGUAAAGGGAGCGUAGGCGGUCCUGCAAGUCUGAUGUGAAAGGCCGGGGCUCAACCCCGAGACUGCAUUGGAAACUGUAGGACUAGAGUGUCGGAGGGGUAAGNGGAAUNCCUAGUGUAGCGGUGAAAUGCGUAGAUAUUAGGAGGAACACCAGUGGCGAAGGCGGCUUACUGGACGACUACUGACGCUGAGGCUCGAAAGUGCGGGUAUCGAACAGGAUUAGAUACCCUGGUAGUCCGCACGGUAAACGAUGGAUGCCCGCUGUUGGUCUGAACAGGUCAGCGGCCAAGCGAAAGCAUUAAGCAUCUCACCUGGGGAGU
Molecule: ribosomal RNA, 352 nt
Filed under: uncultured bacterium
Lineage: Bacteria
Description: bacterial SSU rRNA
Rfam family: Bacterial small subunit ribosomal RNA
Source: RNAcentral